RNAcentral lists this ribosomal RNA (497 nucleotides) under uncultured bacterium. RNAcentral's name for it is "partial 16S ribosomal RNA". It matches the Rfam family "Bacterial small subunit ribosomal RNA", at positions 28 to 506 of the family's 1533-position model. The record is from RNAcentral.
GAUGAACGCUGGCGGCGUGCCUAAUACAUGCAAGUCGAGCGAACAGACGAGGAGCUUGCUCCUCUGACGUUAGCGGCGGACGGGUGAGUAACACGUGGAUAACCUACCUAUAAGACUGGGAUAACUUCGGGAAACCGGAGCUAAUACCGGAUAAUAUAUUGAACCGCAUGGUUCAAUAGUGAAAGACGGUUUUGCUGUCACUUAUAGAUGGAUCCGCGCCGCAUUAGCUAGUUGGUAAGGUAACGGCUUACCAAGGCAACGAUGCGUAGCCGACCUGAGAGGGGGGAUCGCCCACACGGAACCGGAGACACGGCCCAGCCCCCGAGGGGGGGACGAAGGGGGAAUUGUGCCGCAUGGGGGAAAAGCUGAAGGGAGCACCGCGGGGGGAGUGAGAAGGUUUUUGGUAUCGAAAAACGUUUUUAUGGGGAAAAAAAAAAUGGGUAGGAAAUUAGCCCUGUUUGAACGGUACCAAACAAGAAGCCACCGGCAAACUCCGU